UGGGGAAUCUUGGACAAUGGGGGCAACCCUGAUCCAGCCAUGCCGCGUGAGUGAUGAAGGGCCUUAGGGUCGUAAAGCUCUUUCGCCUGUGAAGAUAAUGACGGUAGCAGGUAAAGAAACCCCGGCUAACUCCGUGCCAGCAGCCGCGGUAAUACGGAGGGGGUUAGCGUUGUUCGGAAUUACUGGGCGUAAAGCGCACGUAGGCGGACCAGAAAGUUGGGGGUGAAAUCCCGGGGGCUCAACCCCGGAACUGCCUCCAAAACUAUUGGUCUAGAGUUCGAGAGAGGUGAGUGGAAUUCCAAGUGUAGAGGUGAAAUUCGUAGAUAUUUGGAGGAACACCAGUGGCGAAGGCGGCUCACUGGCUCGAUACUGACGCUGAGGUGCGAAAGUGUGGGGAGCAAACAGGAUUAGAUACCCUGGGUAGUCCACACCGUAAAACGAUGAAUGCCAGUCGUCGGGUAGCAUGCUAUUC
Molecule: ribosomal RNA, 472 nt
Filed under: uncultured bacterium
Lineage: Bacteria
Description: bacterial SSU rRNA
Rfam family: Bacterial small subunit ribosomal RNA
Source: RNAcentral